This 83-nucleotide transfer RNA is filed under the name Streptomyces colonosanans. Its description in RNAcentral is "Streptomyces sp. MUSC 93 tRNA". It matches the Rfam family "tRNA". Rfam says of the family: Transfer RNA (tRNA) molecules are approximately 80 nucleotides in length. Their secondary structure includes four short double-helical elements and three loops (D, anti-codon, and T loops). Further hydrogen bonds mediate the characteristic L-shaped molecular structure. tRNAs have two regions of fundamental functional importance: the anti-codon, which is responsible for specific mRNA codon recognition, and the 3' end, to which the tRNAs corresponding amino acid is attached (by aminoacyl-tRNA synthetases). tRNAs cope with the degeneracy of the genetic code in two manners: having more than one tRNA (with a specific anti-codon) for a particular amino acid; and 'wobble' base-pairing, i.e. permitting non-standard base-pairing at the 3rd anti-codon position. Lineage: Bacteria; Bacillati; Actinomycetota; Actinomycetes; Kitasatosporales; Streptomycetaceae. The record is from Rfam by way of RNAcentral.
GCUGGGUUUCGAGCGCGACACCGCGACGGUCUUGAAAACCGUCGUGGCGCGAGUCACCGUGGGUUCAAAUCCCACACCCACCG